CAUGGCACAAUCAGUCUAGCACUUUUCCUAUCUUACACAUUGCAUAUAAUUUUUUUUGUUUAAAGUGGUUUGUUUAUUUUUUCAAGGUUGCUGUCAAGAAACACAACAAGAAAUCCAGGGAAUGGAGAAUGUGGAGAAGUCCAAAUAAGGGAGGAUUACCAGCUGAGAAAGGCUACGUAUGUUGGCAGCUUAUCUUUACUAUAGCAUGGGAUGCAUCUGAGAAAGAUUCGUCAGGAGCAGUGGCAACUGGAAAGCUGAGAGAUGGACCAUAAUUAUGAAAGUAAGGUGGCCUUCAUCCCAGGAAAACCAUCUGUCUCACCAGGGACUUUAAGACUAAGACUUUAAUGAGUGCUAACAUUAGAAGUGCAUGCAGACCUCUCCAACACAAAAUAACUGAGCCUGUCCUCAACCCUGUCUUCAGUGAACCUGAGAGCUUGAGAACACGGCUCAAAUGUGCACUCCCAUGCUUGCAGAGUGGGUGGACCAGGUC
RNAcentral lists this long non-coding RNA (490 nucleotides) under Calidris pugnax (ruff). RNAcentral describes it as "lncRNA (ENSCPUG00000012356.1)". The record is from RNAcentral. Lineage: Eukaryota; Metazoa; Chordata; Aves; Charadriiformes; Scolopacidae.